UCUGAAAAUUGUCCUCAUUUUCACCCAUAAUUCUUUUCUCCUUCUUCUCUCUUCUCUCUCUCUUCACUCUCUCUACGCCGCCCCAGCUCCGCCCACCGCCGCCGGCCGAAAAUCUCCGCCGCCGGCGGACUACCUCCAAAUUCACACCAUGUAAUCUCCACAACUUCCUCUUUCCAUAUCUCCAAACCAAAUCCUUCAAAAAUCCCUCAAACUCCUUGAAUCUUAGAUCUAGGAAACUUUCCCGUCACUUUUUUGCCUAAAUUCUUGAAGCUCCAACCACUACCACCCCACAAUACUUACAUCAAUGGAUAGAGCUCCUCAAGACCUAACUAUUGAUACCAAUUUCACCCUGAAAAUCCGGCGAUCGAAAUCCGUUCAAAUUUCGGCGACCUCCCCGAACACCCUCUUUUGGCAUACCACCAUUUUUUCGGCCACUUGAAUUAUAAAAUGGUAAUUUUCGGACCAUGUAAACUCAUAAAAUCGAGUUGGAAUGAAAGAUAAUGACGCUGGGAAAUAUUAGUAGCUUUAUCCUUCUAUUGUAAUUCAUUUUUAUAUGCUCUUGAAUGUUUGAUAAUGUUAUAACGAUAUGUUAGUUAAUUAAAUUGUGUUAAGCAUCUUUAAUUAUUUUUAUUUUUGCAAAGCAUUAGAUA
Long non-coding RNA from Nicotiana tabacum (common tobacco), 650 nucleotides. RefSeq lists it as uncharacterized. The record is from RefSeq and is a predicted model, not a curated record. Lineage: Eukaryota; Viridiplantae; Streptophyta; Magnoliopsida; Solanales; Solanaceae.